UACAUGUGGGGCAAGCGUUGUUCGGAAUUACUGGGCAUAAAGGGUGCGUAGGCGGCUUGUUAAGUCAGGGGUGAAAGUUUUCGGCCCAACCGGAAAAUUGCCUUUGAUACUGGCGAGCUCGAGUGCGUGAGGGGUAACCGGAACGAGCAGUGUAGCGGUGAAAUGCGUAGAUAUUGGGAAGAACACCGAUGGCGAAGGCAGCCAUCUGGACCGACACUGACGCUGAGGCGCGAAAGCGUGGGGAGCAAACAGG
RNAcentral lists this ribosomal RNA (253 nucleotides) under uncultured bacterium. Its description in RNAcentral is "partial 16S ribosomal RNA". It matches the Rfam family "Bacterial small subunit ribosomal RNA", at positions 524 to 776 of the family's 1533-position model. The record is from RNAcentral.